GUGGGGAAUAUUGGACAAUGGACCAAAAGUCUGAUCCAGCAAUUCUGUGUGUUUGAUGAAGGCCUUCGGGUUGUAAAGAACUUUAAGUAGGGAAGAAGAAAGUGACGGUACCUACAGAAUAAGCGACGGCUAAAUACGUGCCAGCAGCCGCGGUAAUACGUAUGUCGCAAGCGUUAUCCGGAAUUAUUGGGCAUAAAGCGCGUCUAGGCGGUUUACUAAGUCUGAUGUGAAAAUGCGGGGCUCAACUCCGUAUUGCGUUGGAAACUGGUAGACUAGAGUAUUGGAGAGGUAGGCGGAACUACAAGUGUAGAGGUGAAAUUCGUAGAUAUUAGGAGGAACACCAGUGGCGAAGGCGACUUACUGGACUGUAACUGACACUGAGGCACGAAAGCGUGGGUAGCGAACAGGAUUAGAAACCCCUGUAGUCC
Molecule: ribosomal RNA, 428 nt
Filed under: uncultured bacterium
Lineage: Bacteria
Description: partial 16S ribosomal RNA
Rfam family: Bacterial small subunit ribosomal RNA
Source: RNAcentral